CCUACGGGUGACAGCAGUGAGGAAUAUUGGUCAAUGGGCGGAAGCCUGAACCAGCCAAGUAGCGUGCAGGAUGACGGCCCUACGGGUUGUAAACUGCUUUUAUACGGGAAUAACGCGCCUUACGUGUAGGGCUUUGCAUGUACCGUAUGAAUAAGGACCGGCUAAUUCCGUGCCAGCAGCCGCGGUAAUACGGAAGGUCCGGGCGUUAUCCGGAUUUAUUGGGUUUAAAGGGUGCGCAGGCGGAAGAUCAAGUCAGCGGUAAAAUUGAGAGGCUCAACCUCUUCGAGCCGUUGAAACUGGUUGUCUUGAGUGAGCGAGAAGUAGGCGGAAUGCGUGGUGUAGCGGUGAAAUGCAUAGAUAUCACGCAGAACUCCGAUUGCGAAGGCAGCAUACCGGCGCCCUACUGACGCUGAGGCACGAAAGCGUGGGUAUCGAACAGGAUUAGAUACCCCGGUAGUC
Molecule: ribosomal RNA, 459 nt
Filed under: uncultured bacterium
Lineage: Bacteria
Description: partial 16S ribosomal RNA
Rfam family: Bacterial small subunit ribosomal RNA
Source: RNAcentral